UUAUUUCAUUAAUCCAACAUAGACUCAUAUUCAUAGCACUUGACAUACUAUAGCACAUAUCGCUUUAAACACCUGUUAUCCCUUUGUGACUCAAGAGUCAGGAAUCGCUGACAUAACUUAUACAAAGUAUUACAUUACACUAACAUGCCUAUCAUAUACACCACCUAAAAUCAUACAUAUUCAACUAAUACUAAUACCACUUAUUUCUUACGCCAUCAUUAAGGAUCAAUUUCUUAGUAUCUUAUCUAUUCCCAUCAUCCUCAAUAAUUUAUUCACACUAAACUGUACCUAACUCGUCCAACUUAUAACACAUUAUGAGUUUAAGAACUCACCACAAACAUAUGAGUUUAAGAACUCGACAUUUACCACAUAUUCUUUAACUGUAUUUUACCUAUCUGCUAUACUUAUCGUUUCUGGAUCCUGUACUACACUUUUCCACAAUAUCCACCUCAUUGAGGUAGCUUUCAAUGUGAGCCACUAUUUUAGCUAUUGGCUGUGAUAUUGGCUCGGUCUUGGAGAUAUGUUUGACUUAUUCUUUACGACCUGAGGGUUUCCUAAUCCUUUCUAUCUGACAUCUACACACAAACUAUCUUUAUUAGCACUUAAUAUAUACACA
RNAcentral lists this long non-coding RNA (616 nucleotides) under Panax ginseng (ginseng). RNAcentral describes it as "long non-coding RNA (PGIN_LNC016727)". The record is from RNAcentral. Lineage: Eukaryota; Viridiplantae; Streptophyta; Magnoliopsida; Apiales; Araliaceae.